Molecule: long non-coding RNA, 2535 nt
Filed under: Sus scrofa (pig)
Lineage: Eukaryota; Metazoa; Chordata; Mammalia; Artiodactyla; Suidae
Description: lncRNA (ENSSSCG00030021448.1)
Rfam family: mir-155 microRNA precursor family (bases 1344-1408)
Source: RNAcentral
AUUCCUUUCUUCUUCCUCCUUAAGGUCUAAACGUUUAUUGAACGGAGGCUCAAAACCGAGUUACUGAACUAGGCUUUCAGUAGUAGACACGUGUCAUGUUUAAGAUUUAUUUUAUUCAUUUCCAUCCAUUGUGCCAAAGGACCUGCUCCAGGAAAAUGCUCCCCUGUUGAUAGGUGCGGGAGAGUAAAAGGGAGACGAUGAAGCUAAAUUAAAACUGAAGUCCUUUGUGCUCAGGGAAUAUGACCUUAGAGUGGGAGAGGGGCGGGGAGUGAGUAGAAAAGUCGGCGAAGCAAAAAUAAGGAAGGUUGGGGCCCUGUAACCUAGCAUCCUGAAAUAUCAGCGUAGGUAAGGUAGCAGGCAAGGCACGAAUGCACUCAAAGCCCAGGUGUACUUCCCUCAUCAAAUGCUGGCUCCCGAAGGGUACUGAGGGGAGGGGUCACGCGGGGGGAGGGGGGGUGUCCCUGGAUGGUUUUUUCCUCUUUAGGGACCUGCUUGCCGGAUGAUUCCGUCUCCCACUUGCUUCUCUUCGGCUCCUUCUUUCCCAUCUGCCAGGGGAGCUUAAAGACAUCUCUGCCGCCCAGUUACAAAAAGUGGCAACUUCCCCUCCGGCCCGCAGACUGAUCGCUCAUUUGAAUGCGUUUCCUUUUCAUUAAGAACAAAGGUUGGAGUCCGAGCCUCGCGGCGCGGCGGCCGGAAAGUACAAGAUGUGUGUCGAGAGCAAACACACACACACACACACACACACAGAAUGACCCACGAGAAAGGGAAAGGGGAAAACACCAAUCCUGCGCUGGGCUUUUUCGACUUUUCCUUUAAAAAGAAAAAAGUUUUUCAAGCUGUAGGUUCCAAGAACCGGCAGGAGGGGGGCGAGGCGGGGUGGGGGGGUGUACAGAAAAGGCGCCUGGUCGGUUAUGAGUCACAAGUGGGUUAUAAAAGGGUCGCACGUUCGCAGGCGCGGGCUUCCUGUGCGCGGCUGAGCCGGGGCGCAGCGCGACGGUCCCAUCGGGCGGCCUCCACCCUCGGGACGCGAGCGGAGCGCCGAGCCCAGCGGCGAUCACGCGACGCGGGGAAGGAAGGAAGAUCUCUCCUUUCAAAGAUAACUAGCCAAAUGAACAUAAUAAACAAGUCCAAGCAGUUGGAGGGGCGGCCGCCACCCCACCGUCUCCAAAUAACUGAUUCGCAUUUCCGAGACGGUUCACCUGAAGCCUUGCCUGCCACCUUGGUUCUCCCACCUGAAGGAGAUGGUUCUAACGGUGGCGCAAACCAGGAAGGGGAAAUCUGUGGUUUACGUUCUCUGUGCCUCAUCCCUCUCGGAGAGCUGGAGGCUUGCUGGAGGCUAUAUGCUGUUAAUGCUAAUUGUGAUAGGGGUUUUUACCUCCGUCUGACUCCUACAUGUUAGCAUUAACAGGGUAUGAUGCCUGUUACUAGCAUUCACAUGGAACAAACUGCUGCUGUGGGAGGAUGACAAAGAAGUGUGAGUCACCCUGCUGGAUAAACUCAGACUUUAAGCUUUAUUAUUUUUUGUUAAUCAUAAUCUGGUCACUGGGAUGUUCCACCUGAUAGUAAGUCUUUAAGAAUAAGGUCUUGUAAAAGAUUUAUCAACGGUAUCCUGAAAGCAAACUUUUUUACUUUAAUCCUUAAGCCCACAUUUUUUUUAAAAAAAUCUUUAAUGGAAAAUGUAUUCCUGUCCUUUUUAAUUCACAGUUAUGGUUUGUUCAUUAUAACUGUUUAUAAACACUUUGAAUAAUUUAACUAGAAAGAAAUAUAAACACAUUCUGAGUAUCUUUGCAGUUAAAAAUUAGGACUACUAUCCACUAAUUAAUCAUGGAUUGUUGGGAAAUAUGUUUAAAAAGAUUUAGAAAUAGGUAUUCCCCCCAUGUAACAAUUCUAUUUAGACAACUUCAGUUUCAAAUGGAUACUUUUAUAUGAAUCUUAAAGUAGACUUGAAAGGCUAUGGCAAUUAGUUUUUAAAAAAUGAAAGAUUUCAUUCUUUUUUAUGGCUGAGUAGUAUUCCAUUGCAUAUAUAUACCACAUAUCCUUAAUCCACCCAUUCGUCUGUCGCUGGACAUUUAGGCUGUUUCCAUUUGCAGCAACAUGGAUGCAAAUAGAGAUUCUCAUACUAAAUGAAGUUAAGUCAGAAAGAUAAAGACAAAUUCCAUAUGAUAUCAGUUAUAUGUGGACUCAAAAAUAUGGCACAAAUGAACCUAUCUACAAAACAGAAACAGACCCACAGACAUAGAGAAUAGACUUGUGGUUGCCAAGGGGGAGGGAAGAGGGAGUGGGAUGGAUGGGCAGUUUGGGGUUAGUAGAUACAGACUAUUACAUUUAGAUUAGAUGGGCAAUGAGGUCCUACUAUUCAGCACGGGGAACUAUAUCUAGUCUCUUGGGAUAGACCAUGAUGGAAGAUAAUAUAAGACAAGGAAUGAAUAUAUACAUAUGACUGGGUCACCCUGCUGCAAUAGCAGAACUUGCCACAACGUUGUACAUCAACUAUACGUUAAUAAAAAAAUCAAAAAGAUUUUUUAAACUUAGUAC